Molecule: ribosomal RNA, 1938 nt
Filed under: human gut metagenome
Description: bacterial LSU rRNA
Rfam family: Bacterial large subunit ribosomal RNA (bases 556-1938)
Source: RNAcentral
UUGAACCUAAUGAAAAAGUAAUUGAUGCACUAUAUCACUACAGACCUAAUAUUGUUGUAAAAAACGUAUAAACAUUUAAUUUUUAUGCGUGCAAAAAAUAAUAAAAAAUGUCAGGAAAAAGAGAUAUGGUCAUUGACGAUGUCUCUUUUUUAUGUUACUAUUUUCGUUAAAAUAGCGUGAAGAAAUUUGCGCUUUAAUUUAAUUAUACGAUAGAAUAAGGAGGAAAGAAUCAGUGGGUAAAAUUAUUGGCGAAGGAAUUACAUUUGAUGAUGUGCUUUUGGUACCACAGUAUUCAGAAGUGACACCUAAUAUGGUAGAUUUAUCUACACAUUUAACAAAGAAGAUCAAAUUAAACAUUCCUAUGAUGAGUGCCGGAAUGGACACAGUUACAGAACACAGAAUGGCAAUUGCAAUGGCGAGACAAGGUGGAAUUGGUAUCAUUCAUAAGAAUAUGACUAUUGAACAGCAGGCAGAUGAGGUAGAUAAGGUUAAACGUUCUGAAAACGGUGUCAUCACUGAUCCGUUCUAUUUAUCCCCAGAACAUACACUAAAGGAUGCAAAUGAAUUAAUGGCAAAAUUCAGAAUUUCAGGUGUUCCAAUUGUAGUAGGAAAGAAGUUAGUAGGUAUUAUUACUAACCGUGAUCUUAAAUUUGAAACAGAUGAAACAUAAGAGGGCCAGAGUCAGUAGGAGUAGACCCGAAACCGGGUGAUCUAUCCAUGUCCAGGUUGAAGCUGCCGUAAGAGGUAGUGGAGGACCGAACCCACAUCCGUUGAAAAGGGUGGGGAUGAGGUGUGGAUAGGGGAGAAAUUCCAAUCGAACCCGGAGAUAGCUGGUUCUCCUCGAAAUAGCUUUAGGGCUAGCCUCGUAUUAGUCUGGUGGAGGUAGAGCACUGAAUUUCCUAGGGGGCGUCAAAGCCUACCGAAGAAUAUCAAACUCCGAAUGCCAUACAGAUGAUGUACGGGAGUCAGACGGCACGAGAUAAGUUGGGUCGUCAAAAGGGAAAGAGCCCAGACCUGCAGCUAAGGUCCCAAAGUGUGUGUUAAGUGGAAAAGGAUGUGGGAUUUCAAAGACAACUAGGAUGUUGGCUCAGAAGCAGCCACACAUUCAAAGAGUGCGUAAUAGCUCACUAGUCGAGAGGUCCUGCGCCGAAAAUGUCCGGGGCUGAAACACAACACCGAAGCUCAGGAAUGUAUUUAUACAUUGGUAGAGGAGCAUUCUUAAAGGGGCGAAGCAGUACCGAUAAGGAGCUGUGGACUUUUAAGAAGAGAGAAUGCCGGAAUGAGUAGCGAGAUGGAGGUGGGAAUCCUCCAGGCCGAAUAUCUAAGGUUUCCAGGGUAAAGCUGAUCUGCCCUGGGUAAGUCGGGGCCUAAGGCAAGGCUGAGAAGCGUAGCUGAUGGACAACAGGUUUAGAUUCCUGUACCACAUGGUAUCAGAACUGUGGGGACGCAGAGGGAUAAGAUGACCGGGGGACAGAUUCCCGGGCAAGCGCAGGAGGUGUCAGGCAGGCAAAUCCGUCUGACAAGCCAAAGGCGUGACGCGGACCGAACUAAAGUAGGGAAGCAUCCGAUUCCAGCUGCCGAGAAAAGCCGCUAUUGUGUACCAUGUGCCCGUACCGUAAACCGACACAGGUGGAUGAGGAGAGAAUCCUAAGGCCGGCGGGAGAAGCAUUGUUAAGGAACUCGGCAAAAUGACCCCGUAACUUCGGGAGAAGGGGUGCUCACGCAAGUGAGCCGCAGAGAACUGGCCCAAGCAACUGUUUAGCAAAAACACAGGUCUAUGCAAAACCGAAAGGUGAGGUAUAUGGGCUGACGCCUGCCCGGUGCUGGAAGGUUAAGAGGAGAUGUUAGAGCAAUCGAAGCAUUGAAUUUAAGCCCCAGUAAACGGCGGCCGUAACUAUAACGGUCCUAAGGUAGCGAAAUUCCUUGUCGGGUAAGUUC